Myotis lucifugus (little brown bat) is the source of this 149-nucleotide small nuclear RNA. Its record names the gene U1. It matches the Rfam family "U1 spliceosomal RNA". Rfam says of the family: U1 is a small nuclear RNA (snRNA) component of the spliceosome (involved in pre-mRNA splicing). Its 5' end forms complementary base pairs with the 5' splice junction, thus defining the 5' donor site of an intron. There are significant differences in sequence and secondary structure between metazoan and yeast U1 snRNAs, the latter being much longer (568 nucleotides as compared to 164 nucleotides in human). NCBI's taxonomy places the organism in Eukaryota, Metazoa, Chordata, Mammalia, Chiroptera, Vespertilionidae. The record is from Ensembl.
AUACUUACCUGGCAGCAGAGAUACCAUGAUCACAGGGCGAGGCUUAUCCAUUGCACUCUGGAUGUGCUAGCCCCUGAGAUUUCCCCAAAUGUGGGAAACCCGACUGCAUAAUUUGUGGCAGCGGGGGACUGCAUUCGUGCUCUCCCCUG